This 439-nucleotide ribosomal RNA is filed under the name uncultured bacterium. RNAcentral describes it as "partial 16S ribosomal RNA". It matches the Rfam family "Bacterial small subunit ribosomal RNA", at positions 338 to 795 of the family's 1533-position model. The record is from RNAcentral.
CCUACGGGAGGCAGCAGUAGGGAAUCUUUCACAAUGGGCGAAAGCCUGAUGGAGCAACGCCGCGUGCAGGAUGAAGGCCUUCGGGUUGUAAACUGCUUUUAUAAGCGAGAAAUAUGAUGGUAACUUAUGAAUAAGGAUCGGCUAACUACGUGCCAGCAGCCGCGGUAAUACGGAGGUCCGGGCGUUAUCCGGAUUUAUUGGGUUUAAAGGGAGCGUAGGCCGGUCUUUAAGCGUGCCGUGAAAUUUUGUGGCUCAACCAUGAGAGUGCGGCGCGAACUGGAGACCUUGAGUGCGCGGAAGGCAGGCGGAAUUCGUGGUGUAGCGGUGAAAUGCUUAGAUAUCACGAAGAACCCCGAUUGCGAAGGCAGCCUGCCGCAGCGUUACUGACGCUGAAGCUCGAAAGCGCGGGUAUCGAACAGGAUUAGAUACCCUGGUAGUC